Non-coding RNA from Gossypium arboreum, 145 nucleotides. NCBI's taxonomy places the organism in Eukaryota, Viridiplantae, Streptophyta, Magnoliopsida, Malvales, Malvaceae. The record is from Rfam.
UAGUAAAAAAUUCAUCAAGUUCUACCAUUAAAAACUGGUUUUGCUGAUAGAAUAACCAAACAAUUAUACAUGACAUGCUAUGUAUUCCUCAUUUUGAUGUAUAGGGACCAAUUUUUAAUAGUAGAAAUGGAUGGAAUUUUUAACA